RNAcentral lists this long non-coding RNA (1616 nucleotides) under Bemisia tabaci. RNAcentral describes it as "lncRNA ENSSSA1NGG008464". The record is from RNAcentral. Lineage: Eukaryota; Metazoa; Arthropoda; Insecta; Hemiptera; Aleyrodidae.
AUUCGACAAAUGAGUAAUUACACGAAAGUUUUUUAUUGUUUUACGUGGAGAUGCGAUCAUCUGCACGAUAAGGCACACGUUUUACGCUCUCUCACUUUCUCUUAGUUAAUUGAACAUCUUAUCAACAUUGAUUUUGUCGCACCCGUCGCGUCGCGUUAUCAGCUUUAUCUGAUAAAUUCAGCAUCUGCUGUACGAAUCUCAUAGUAAAGAGACUCAGGUGUGGAAAUCGUUUGAUUGAAUCAGUCAUUAUUGAACCUUUGUGUAAAUUUUUCAAUUUCGUUAAUUGAUUAUUGCAGUGGAAAUGGCGGAUUUUCGUCCUGACAUGAUCUACUUUGAUGAGCGCGGAUACGAAAAACAUCUCUUUUCAAUUGAAAACGUUUACCUUGAUGACCUGGAUAAAUUUCCAGCACUCGCUGAUGAGCCGAGAGCCUCAAACGAGGAAGCGGACGAGGAACUGGCGCACGUUUACGGGAAUGUUAGAGAUGCUCUUUAUUAUUACGAAGUCACAAGCGAGUCACCCUCUUUCUUGCUAAAAGAAAAGACCGCGACAAUCAGGAAGGUGGUUUACAUAAAUCUUGGAAUACCAAAGGAUCUUCGGACAACCAAUUACAACAGUAAGGCCUUUUUGGCGGCAAAACGAAUCCGCUCUCGUUUGCUUGUGGUGGGAUACGUGGAAGCCCGCCCUGUCACCUCAGGCUAUUGGUACGUGAGGGAUCCUGAUUUCAUCAAUGACCCUUUACCGUGUGUGAGUGCCGAGAGUGUCGCAGUCAAGUGCGGUAUCUCCGCCAUAUGGGUCAAGCAAAGCUUCCGCAGGCGAAAAAUUGCGACUACCCUUUUAAACUUGGUCAAAGAGCGUAUGUUUGAUGAAGAGCUCACUUGGCAGGACAUCGCAUUCGCUCACAUCCACUUCUCCGGGAAGCGAUUUGUCCAAAGUUUCUUCCGUAAACAAAUGGGCCCUGAAGAGGAUGCGGACAAGAGAUCGACUCCUGCAGAAAACGCGGAGAGAGAGGAUUGAUUCAAAAUCGGUCGUUGGUGGUUCCAGCCCAACGAUCAUAACAGAAAGAAAGUUCACGAAAAAGUCAGAAACAAUGGUGAUCUCGUGAAUUAGCGACACCAGAUUCUGCUUAUUUCAAUGCAAAUAAAACAGUCUAAACCUGAAUCAAUCUGUAGGCCGCUACAUCCAUAAUCAAUUCACCGCAUAAAAAUUUUCAGGUCAUAAUCUGGUCAUCGGACUAAAUCAAUUUUUUUUUCAAUACCCACACUGAAAGAAAUGGUUCUGUUAAUAGGGCUCCUGCGCACUUUCUUUGUUACGGCUACAGAAGUUUCUGUUAUGAGGAAAGACUCUGUGCUCAUGACCGAUGUUCUGUUCUCACAACAGAAAAGUUCUGUAAAUAUAUGACAGAGAAAGUGCAGGAGCCCUGUGAACAGAAUGUUCUGUCAUCAGUACAGACUAUUUUAUUACGUGAUGUAACAAAAUAUAGUCCGAAACUGCUCAUAGCGCCUUCGGAAAAAUUAUCUGGUAUACUCAGGAUGCCGUCAUAUUGUAGCCAGCCAACAGCACCUUCGCACAAGGAGCACAGUGCAAUGAAAAUAUUAAAAUAAAAUUUCGAAUCAAU